UCUCCGUUGGUGAACCAGCGGAGGGAUCAUUACCGCGUUUUCACAACUCCAAACCCUUGCGAACCGUACCCUUUCUGUUCUCGUUGCAUCCGGCGGGUACGACGUGAGGGCCCGACAGGGCCUCCCCGCCCCGCCCGCCCGGGUCGGCGGGCCGGACGAACCUUUAUAUUUCUACCUCCAGAAACCGUCUGCGUAACCCGCCAAAAUAAUCAAAACUUUCAACAACGGAUCUCAUCGCUAUCGCAUCUGUGAAAAACGCAGCAGUUCGUUAGAGCACAC
This 279-nucleotide unclassified non-coding RNA is filed under the name plant metagenome. Its description in RNAcentral is "partial contains small subunit ribosomal RNA, internal transcribed spacer 1, and 5.8S ribosomal RNA". The record is from RNAcentral.